UGGGUAAUCCACCUCUGGGUGGGGAAUAACCCUGGGAAACCGGGGCUAAUACCGCAUAACACUGAAAGGUCAAAGGCGCAAGUCGCCCGGAGAGGAGCCCGCGGCUGAUUAGCUAGUUGGUGAGGUAAAGGCUCACCAAGGCAUUGAUCGGUAGCCGGCCUGAGAGGGCACACGGCCACACUGGCACUGAAACACGGGCCAGACUCCUACGGGAGGCAG
RNAcentral lists this ribosomal RNA (219 nucleotides) under uncultured bacterium. RNAcentral describes it as "partial 16S ribosomal RNA". It matches the Rfam family "Bacterial small subunit ribosomal RNA", at positions 118 to 351 of the family's 1533-position model. The record is from RNAcentral.